UACAGAGGGUGCGAGCGUUGUCCGGAAUCACUGGGCGUAAAGGGCGCGUAGGUGGCGAGCCAAGUCCAUGGUGAAAGCUCGAUGCUCAACAUCGAGUCGGCCACGGAUACUGGUGCGCUGGAGCACUGUAGAGGCUCAUGGAAUUCCGGGUGUAGCGGUGGAAUGCGUAGAGAUCCGGAAGAACACCGGUGGCGAAGGCGGUGAGCUGGGCAGUUGCUGACACUGAGGCGCGACAGCGUGGGGAGCAAACAGG
This 253-nucleotide ribosomal RNA is filed under the name uncultured bacterium. RNAcentral describes it as "partial 16S ribosomal RNA". It matches the Rfam family "Bacterial small subunit ribosomal RNA", at positions 524 to 776 of the family's 1533-position model. The record is from RNAcentral.